This 405-nucleotide ribosomal RNA is filed under the name uncultured bacterium. RNAcentral describes it as "bacterial SSU rRNA". It matches the Rfam family "Bacterial small subunit ribosomal RNA", at positions 362 to 758 of the family's 1533-position model. The record is from RNAcentral.
UUUUGGACAAUGGGCGCAAGCCUGAUCCAGCCAUUCCGCGUGAGUGAAGAAGGCCUUCGGGUUGUAAAGCUCUUUCGCAAGGGAACAAAACUUACUUUCUAAUAAAGAGUGAGGUUGACGGUACCUUGAUAAGAAGCACCGGCUAACUACGUGCCAGCAGCCGCGGUAAUACGUAGGGUGCGAGCGUUAAUCGGAAUUACUGGGCGUAAAGCGUGCGCAGGCGGCUUUGUAAGUCAGAUGUGAAAUCCCCGAGCUCAACUUGGGAACUGCGUUUGAAACUACAAGGCUAGAAUAUGUCAGAGGGGGGUAGAAUUCCACGUGUAGCAGUGAAAUGCGUAGAGAUGUGGAGGAAUACCAAUGGCGAAGGCAGCCCCCUGGGAGUGAUAUUGACGCUCAUGCACGAAG